CCGUGAUAACGUGGCAUAAUCAUUCGCCACCUAAUUAGUGGAUAGUAUGAAUGGUAAAACGAGUAUAACACUCUCUCAGAAGGAAGUUUUAUGAAAUUGGAAUGGUAGUCAAGAUACUACCUAAAACUGUAAGACGAAAAGACCCUAUAGAGCUUAACUACACCUUUCUCACAAAGUUAAGUUCACUUAAGUUCAAGAAAGAUUGGUAGUUUAGUUGGGGCGACUGCUUUCUAGUAAAAACGAAAGCAAGCAAUAUUAAUUAUCUAAUUUACUGUCUAAUCUAUGUGUUUAACAGUUAUAAAAAUAGGCAAUAGUGACCCGUUAGUAACAAAAAACACCACUAACGAACAAUAAAUAAAAGCUACCUUAGGGAUAACAGGAUAAUCUUGUUCUAGAGACCCUAUCGAAAACAAGGUUUGUCACCUCUAUGUUGAAUUAAGAUAUCCUAGAAGUGUAGAAGCUUCUGAGG
Molecule: ribosomal RNA, 469 nt
Filed under: Millepora alcicornis
Lineage: Eukaryota; Metazoa; Cnidaria; Hydrozoa; Anthoathecata; Milleporidae
Description: partial large subunit ribosomal RNA
Rfam family: Bacterial large subunit ribosomal RNA
Source: RNAcentral